Molecule: ribosomal RNA, 468 nt
Filed under: uncultured bacterium
Lineage: Bacteria
Description: partial 16S ribosomal RNA
Rfam family: Bacterial small subunit ribosomal RNA
Source: RNAcentral
GACGAACGCUGGCGGCGUGCUUAACACAUGCAAGUCGAACGGUGAUCCCCUGCUUUCGGGGGGGGUUCGUGGCGAGCGGGUGUGUAUUACACGAGAAUAAUCCCCUUGUCUCUGGGGUAAGACUGGGAAAACGGGUGUAAUACUCCAUACAGCUUCUUGCCGCGUGGUGUGGGGUGUGAAGAGUUUAGGGGGUUUGGGAUGGACUCACGGCUUAUCAGCUUGUUGGUGGGGUAGUGGCUUACCAAGGCAUGGACGGGUAGCCGGCCUGAGAGGGUGACCGGCAAACUGGGGCCUGGAAACGGCCCAGACUCCUACGGGGGGGCACAGGGGGGAAUAUUGCACCAUGGGCGGGAGCCCGGAGGAGCGACGGCGGGGGGGGGAUUACGGCCUUUGGGGUGUAAACCCGUUUUAGCAGGGAAGAAGCCACGAGUGACGGUACCGGCAGAAGAAGCGCCGGCUAACUACGUG